GCAACGCACCUGUCACACGAGUUUACCACCGGAUAACAACAAUAAGGUAAGUACAAUUAAUAAAUAGAAUAAAAUAAUAAAAUAGAAUAAUUAUUCGACAGGUGCGAGCGGAUUCGACGAAGUUGCACGGGUAGAGUGUACGCAACGACCUAAACCCCGAGGUGCCUGCCGGAUACGCCUCUGCGCACAAGUGUCACCAGCCGCAAUCUUUUUGUUAAUUUUUUGGGUUAUGCGGCCUGGUGACUGUCAGCAGAGGCGUGUGUACGAGCAAAUAGAAUGUGGCAGGCGAGUGGACGGAGUACUGCACAAGACAGGAGUUCUACACGACACCUAACCUAGACCUGUCAAGGUGCUGCGGAUGGAAAUUGCUGCAAAAGUGAUGUUAAUAGUAAUAGUAUUAGGAGGUGGGUGGCUAGUGUAAAAAUAAAAACGUUUGAAAUAUAUAAAAAGUUAACUCAUCGACUGUAAAACAGCUCUGCACACGGGUAAAGAAGAAUAAAA
Pseudomyrmex gracilis is the source of this 501-nucleotide long non-coding RNA. RefSeq lists it as uncharacterized. The record is from RefSeq and is a predicted model, not a curated record. Lineage: Eukaryota; Metazoa; Arthropoda; Insecta; Hymenoptera; Formicidae. The transcript is spliced from 3 exons.